GCGCGGUUUCCUCCCUCGCGAUCCUUCCUCGUGAUCGCGCACCCAGCUCACCUCACCAGCAAAGCGCGGUUUCCUCCCUGGCAAUACUUCCUCGGGAUCGUGCACCCGUUUCACCUCACCAACAAAGCGCGGUUUCCUCCCUCGCCAUCCUUCCUCAUGGUCGCGCACCCGGCUCACCUCAAGAACAAAGCGCGGUUUCCUCCCUGGCAAUACUUCCUCGGGAUCGUGCACGCGGUUCACCUCACCAACAAAGCGCGGUUUCCUCCCUCGCCAUCCUUCCUCGUGGUCGCGCACCCGGCUCACCUCAAGAACAAAGCGCGGUUUCCUCCCUCGCCAUCCUUCCUUAUGGUCGCGCACCCGGCUCACCUCAACAACAAAGCGCGGUUUCCUCCCUCGCCAUCCUUCCUCGUGGUCGCGCACCCGGUUGGAUUUCACAGUCAUGGAAGUUCUGCUUUAAAAUCCGUUUCUGAAGAAGUGUUAAUGUAUAAGAAAAACAGCAGACGAACACCAGGUGAGGGAGAGUGUAUUAAACACCUGGACGGUACUCCGCAAAUAUGACACAGUCACCAAAGACAAGUUUGAGAAUCUGUCUCAGACAAGAUCUUGACACUGCUGACCAGGGACAAAAUGUCCCAUUGACAGUCAUGCUCUGGAGCAGGAUGGGCAGUGAGAGACCAGAGACCACAGGAUGGGGGAAACACAAAUGCUGACCUCAAGGAGAAGCUGAAGCCAAGAGUAUUAAUCACAGUGGUGAAGAUAAGAAAGAUGACCCCAAGUAAGAAAGCCCAGAAAGGCACUUGCUGUUGACUCCCUCAGAAAGAACACCACGAAAGACCAUGGAUCAUGUAAAUAAGAAGAAGAAAGAAAGUAAGGAAGAAACACCAUACCUUGUUGAGAGCUGUAAAUGGUAUGAUAUUUUACUCCAUGUGGAGCUAACAAACUAGCCUGUCACAACUUCAAGGAUGCUGUCGGAAGACACAAGAUUCCUGGGUCAGAGCCAAAGGACCGUAUCAACGAUGGCAGUGCCUGGGCAUCCCACAUGUGUGUUUAUUCUCCUUGCCCAGAAAAAUGGUGUGGAACGCCCUCGAUGAAACGUGUACACAGUGGGUUGCAUGACAGGAGAAAAUCUCAGAGACUUAGGAACCCAAAUAUGUUAUUGUGAGCAGUGAGCAUUGCUGCCCUUGGCUCCCCG
RNAcentral lists this long non-coding RNA (1192 nucleotides) under Homo sapiens (human). RNAcentral describes it as "non-protein coding lnc-PFKP-9:6". Lineage: Eukaryota; Metazoa; Chordata; Mammalia; Primates; Hominidae. The record is from RNAcentral.